RNAcentral lists this ribosomal RNA (329 nucleotides) under uncultured eukaryote. Its description in RNAcentral is "partial 18S ribosomal RNA". It matches the Rfam family "Eukaryotic small subunit ribosomal RNA", at positions 1470 to 1796 of the family's 1831-position model. The record is from RNAcentral.
CCCUUAGAUGUUCUGGGCCGCACGCGCGCUACACUGAUGCAUUCAACGAGUCUAAAACCUGCUCUGAUAGGGGUGGGUAAUCUUUUGAAUGUGCAUCGUGAUUGGGAUAGAUGAUUGCAAUUUUUCAUCUUCAACGAGGAAUGCCUAGUAAACGCAAGUCAUCAGCUUGCAUUGAUUACGUCCCUGCCCUUUGUACACACCGCCCGUCGCUCCUACCGAUUGAAUGAUCCGAUGAAUAUCAUGGAUUGAGGAUUAUAGCAGGUUCGCCUGUCUUGAUCUUCGAGAAGUGAAGUAAAUCUUAUCAUUCAGAGGAAGGAGAAGUCGUAACA